CCUACGGGCGGCAGCAGUGGGGAAUAUUGGGCAAUGGGCGCAAGUCUGACCCAGCAACGCCGCGUGAAGGAUGAAGGCCUUCGGGUUGUAAACUUCUUUUCUCAGGGAUGAAGACAGUGACGGUACCCGAGGAAUAAGCCACGGCUAACUACGUGCCAGCAGCCGCGGUAAUACGUAGGUGGCAAGCGUUAUCCGGAUUUAUUGGGAGUAAAGGGCGUGUAGGCGGGAGCGCAAGUCAGAUGUGAAAUCUCAGGGCUCAACCCUGAGCCUGCAGUUGAAACUGUUAUUCUUGAGUGCUGGAGAGGCAAUCGGAAUUCCGGGUGUAGCGGUGAAAUGCGUAGAUAUACGGAGGAACACCAGUGGCGAAGGCGGAUUGCUGGACAGUAACUGACGCUGAGGCGCGAAAGCGUGGGGAGCAAACAGGAUUAGAUACCCGAGUAGUC
This 443-nucleotide ribosomal RNA is filed under the name uncultured bacterium. RNAcentral describes it as "partial 16S ribosomal RNA". It matches the Rfam family "Bacterial small subunit ribosomal RNA", at positions 338 to 795 of the family's 1533-position model. The record is from RNAcentral.